CAAAAAUCAUAGAGAACAAUGUUCAACCUUGGUACAUGUUAGGAAAAUUAAAAUUCAACUAAUGGGAAAUAUUUAGCCCUUAAGCAAAAAAAAAAAAGAUCAAUAUCCUGGCCAGGUGUGGUGGCUCACGCCUGUAAUCCCAGCACUUAGAAGGCCGAGGCAGGUGGAUCACCUGAGGUCAGGAGUUUGAGACCAGCCUGACAGACAUGCUGAAACCCUGUCUCUAUUAAAAAUACAAAAAUUAGCCAGGUGUGGCGGUGAGCACCUGUAAUCCCAUCUACUCUGGAGGCUGAGGCAGGAGAAUCACUUGAACUGGAGAGGUGGAGGUUGCAGUGAGCUGAGAUUACACCACUGCACUCCAGCCUGGGCAACAAGAGCAAAACUCCAUCUUAAAUAAAUAAAUAAAUAAAUAAUCAAUAUCACAUUGGAAAAAGUAUGGGGAAAUCACCUAUCUAUCUCUCUAGGAAGAUGUCAAUUACUAUAGCAUUUUUGAAGGUAAUCUGGAAAUACUACAUUUUAAAAUGGAACAUAUACUUUAACCAAGCAAUCUUAAAAGUCUAAAGAAAAAAUGAAUUCAUAUGUAAGGGUGUACAUGCAAGGAUAUUUAUUUCAGCACUGCUUAUUAAAGAAAAACAAUUUAAAUAUUUAUUGAUAGAGCAAUGCAUUCAAAUUAUUAACUAUUUUAGAUCUAUUAAAAAUGAAUUCACAUCAUAAGAAAACAACAGAUCUGAAUCUAGGAAAGCUUUAAUUUUUUAAUUAAAACCAAAAUAAAUACAGAUGCAAAAAUCUUCGACAAAAUACUGGCAAAUAGAAUCCAGCAACAUAUAAAAAGGAUUAAAAACCAUGACAAAUAAAUUUACCUCAGGAAUGGAAGAUUGGUUCAACAUAUAACUAACUAAUGUAAUUCCCCAUAUUUAUAGAAUAAAGGACAAAAACAAUAUAAUCAUCUCAACAGACAUAUAAAAAGCAUUUGACAAAAUCUAACAGUCUUUCAUGAUUAUAUAUAUAUAUAUAUAUAUAUAUACACACACACCAAACUAGGAAUAGACAGGACCUUCCUCAACUUGAUAAACAGCAUCUAUGAAAACCCACAACAAACAUACUUAACAGCGAAAGACUGAACACUUACCCUGCUAAGAUCAGGAACAAGUCAGGGAGGCUUACUCUUGCUACUUCUAUUCAAUAUUGUUCUGAAAGUUGUAGCUAGAGUAACUUGGAAAUAAAAUUAAGUAAAAGCAUCCUCAUGCUUUAGAGAGCAGUCAGGAGCCCUGCUCCAUGAGAAAACUUGUUCAUAAAGGAUCUUCGGGAUGUUGAUUUUCUGGCUGGAAACCUGUGUGACCAAAAGCGCCUUUGCCCAAGUUCUUGGCCAAGAAGAAUGAGGUACGCAGACAAGUGAAGGGUGCACAGAUGAGCUUUAAAUGUUAGAACAGCUCAAAGGAGUCCUGCAGUGGGUAGGUCCUCUCUAUGGGCAGGUCACCCUCAAGUGUUCAGCUCUCAGAAGAGAGGAGGUCCUGGAGAAGGUUACUCCUCUCUGCAGCUGAUAGUCCCAACGUCUCUGCAGGUCUCUGAAGCUCUCAGCAGAGAGGGUAGCUCCUCUCUGCAGCUGGUUUUCCAGACCAUAGUCUCUCCCUUCUCGCAUUCUCUCCCCCAGGCUUGGCCCUAACCCCGCUCCAAGAUUGUAGCAGGUACGGGAGCAGGAAGACAUGAGGCAGCAGGAGCAGGCAACUCCGAGCCUGCAAGGGCAGGGGGGCCUUCCCAGGCCCCCCAAGCUGCAAGGAUGCCUGCAUCUGCAGCCACAGUUUGGUUGGCUGCAACUGCGCCUCGCCUGGGGAGCGGGACUCCUGCCAGCUCUCUAAAGCAGAAGGCCUGGAUCCACAGCCACAGCUUGGGUGGCUGAAGCCCUGCCCAGGAGGGUGGGGCUCCUGUGCAUGCCCAAGUCCCAAAAGCAUGGGAUGCCCAGGUUGCAAAUGCCACUUAGGUGGCUGCAGUUGCACCUGGGAAGGUCCCGCCCCACCAACUUGGAAGGGGCAGGGCUCCUGCUUGUACCUGGCUCCCACCAGCUCCAUGGAGCAUGGCACACGGCUGUGCCCCCUUGCAGCCUGGGGGUUGGGGGUUGCUCUGGGUCCUCACUGGGCCUGGGUGGGCAUCUGGGACAGGGGUGAUGAGGCCAGGAGCUCCCCCUGUGGCUCCAGUGCUCAAGGGUGGCCUGGAGCUCCCCUUCACCAAGCCCACGGCCUGGUCCCAUUGUGGUGGCCCCUAGGGUGGCGGGCUGCGGGAGGCGGGGGCAGGCUGUCUGCCACCUCCCCUUGGCCACACCAGAUGGCCCACCACUGCCAUCAAAUGUUCAUAGCAGCAUUAGUCACAAUGGCCAAAUGUUCAUCAUGUGAUGAAUGAAUAACCAAAAUGUAAUAGAUCCAUACAAUGAAAGAUUAUUUGACCAUAAAAAGGAACAAAGUACUGAUACAUGCAAUAACAUGGAAGAACCUUGAAAACAUGCUAAGUAAAAAUUCAGACACAAAAGUCCAUAUAUUUUAUAAUUCCAUUUAUAUGAAAUGCCUAGAAUGAGGUAAUCUAUACAGACAAAAAAGUUAGUAGUUGCCAGUAACGGGAGGAAAGACAAUUCGAGAGUGACUGGUAAUAGACACAGGGUUUCUAUUUCGGAUGAUAAACAUGUUCUGGAAUUAGAUAAGGUAGAUGGUUGCACACCUCGUGAAUAUACUAAA
RNAcentral lists this long non-coding RNA (2723 nucleotides) under Homo sapiens (human). RNAcentral's name for it is "HSALNT0064174". The record is from RNAcentral. Lineage: Eukaryota; Metazoa; Chordata; Mammalia; Primates; Hominidae.